Long non-coding RNA from Eriocheir sinensis (Chinese mitten crab), 1540 nucleotides. RefSeq lists it as uncharacterized. The record is from RefSeq and is a predicted model, not a curated record. NCBI's taxonomy places the organism in Eukaryota, Metazoa, Arthropoda, Malacostraca, Decapoda, Varunidae. The transcript has 2 exons.
AAAAGGAAAACAAGAAAAAAGGAGGAAAAUAACAAGCAGAGUGGAAGAAGAAAAGAGGAAAGUGAAAAAAUGAUAGAAAAUGAGUAAUGAGAUGAACAGGAAGAUAAAUUUUGUCAGAGGAAAGAAAAAAAAGAUCAAAUUCAUGAGGAAAACAAGAAAAAAGGAGGAAAAUAACAAGCAGAGUGGAAGAAGAAAAGAGGAAAGUGAAAAAAUGAUAGAAAAUGAGUAAUGAGAUGAACAUGAAGAUAAAUUUUGUCAGAGGAAAGAAAAAAAUUAGCAAAUUCAUGAGGAAAACAAGAAAAAAGGAGGAAAAUAACAAGCAGAGCGGAAGAAGAAAAAAAGGAAAGUGAAAAAAAGAUAGAAAAUAAGUAAUGAGAUGAACAUGAAGAUAAAUUUUGUCAGAGGAAAGAAAAAAGUUAGCAAAUUCAUGAGGAAAACAAGAAAAAGGAGGAAAAUAACAAGCAGAGUGGAAGAAGAAAAGAGGAAAGUGGAAAAAAGAUAGAAAAUGAGUAAUGAGAUGAACAGGAAGAUAAAUUUUGUCAGAGGAAAGAAAAAAAGAGCAAAUUCAUGAGGAAAACAAGAUAAAAGGAGGAAAAUAACAAGGAGAGUGGAGGAAGAAAAGAGGAAAGUGAAAAAAAGAUAGAAAAUGAGUAAUGAGAUGAACAUGAAGAUAAAUUUUGUCAGAGGAAAGAAAAAAAGAGCAAAUUCAUGAGGAAAACAAGAUAAAAGGAGGAAAAUAACAAGGAGAGUGGAGGAAGAAAAGAGGAAAGUGAAAAAAAAAUAGAAAAUGAGUAAUGAGAUGAACAGGAAGAUAAAUUUUGUCAGAGGAAAGAAAAAAAAGUGAGCAAAUUCAUGAGGAAAACAAGAAAAAGGAGGAAAAUAACAAGCAAAGAGGAAAGUAAAAAAAAAUGACUAAUGAGAUGAACAAGAUAAAUUUUGUCAGAGGAAAGAAAAAAAAGUUAGCAAAUUCAUGAGGAAAACAAGAAAAAAUGAGGAAAAUAACAAGGAGAGUGGAAGAGGAAAAAAAAGAAAAGUGAAAACGAUAUCAAUAAAAAUAAUAAAAUGAACCAGAAGGAAAAUUUGCAAGAGAGGAAAGAAGAAAAAACACAUGAGAAACAAGAGAAAGAAAGACAUUGAAGAAAAAGAAGGAACAGGAUAAUGGAAUAAAGAAGGGAAGGGAAAAGAGGAAAGAAAGAAAAUAGAAAAUAAAAAUAAAAAGCAAAAGAAAGAGAAAAGAAAAGAAUGAAUAGAAUGACAAAAAGAAGAAAUAAAGAAAGUUAAAGAAGAAAAGAAAAAAAGGAUAGUAGAGAGGAAAGAGAAUAAAGAAAAAGUAAAUGAAGUAAGAAAGAAAGGAAGAAAAGAAAAAGAACAAGAUAGAGAGAAAGAAAGAGAAAAGGAAGGAGACAGGAAAAGAAGAGAGAAAGAAAGAAAGGAAAAGAAGUAAACAGAGGAAAAGAAGAGAAAGAAAGAAAGAAAAGAAAAGAGACAGGAAAAGAAUAAAAGAAAUUAAGAAAAGGAAGUAAACAGGAAAAGAAUAAAA